GGACACCUACGGGGCGCAGCAGUGGGGGAUAUUGCACAAUGGGGGGAACUCUGAUGCAGCGACGCCGCGUGGGCGAUGGAGCGCCUCGGCGCGUAAAGCCCUAUCAGCAGGGAAGAAGAUGACGGUACCUGACUAAGAAGCCCCGGCUAAAUACGUGCCAGCAGCCGCGGUAAUACGUAUGGGGCAAGCGUUAUCCGGCUUUACUGGGUGUAAAGGGAGCGCAGGCGGCCUGGCAAGCCUGAUGUGAAAUACC
Molecule: ribosomal RNA, 253 nt
Filed under: uncultured bacterium
Lineage: Bacteria
Description: partial 16S ribosomal RNA
Rfam family: Bacterial small subunit ribosomal RNA
Source: RNAcentral